AUUGAACGCUGGCGGCAUGCUUUACACAUGCAAGUCGAACGGUAACAGGUUAAGCUGACGAGUGGCGAACGGGUGAGUAAUGCAUGGGAACGUGCCCGGUCGUGGGGGAUAACGCAGCGAAAGCUGCGCUAAUACCGCAUACGAUCUGAGGAUGAAAGCGGGGGACCGUAAGGCCUCGCGCGAUCGGAGCGGCCGAUGUCAGAUUAGGUAGUUGGUGGGGUAAAGGCUCACCAAGCCAACGAUCUGUAGCUGGUCUGAGAGGACGACCAGCCACACUGGGACUGAGACACGGCCCAGACUCCUACGGGAGGCAGCAGUGGGGAAUUUUGGACAAUGGGCGAAAGCCUGAUUCAGCAAUGCCGCGUGCAGGAAGAAGGCCUUCGGGUUGUAAACUGCUUUUGUACGGAGCGAAAAGGUCUCCUCUAAUACAGGGGGCUCAUGACGGUACCGUAAGAAUAAGCACCGGCUAACUGCGUGCCAGCAGCCGCCGUAA
Molecule: ribosomal RNA, 493 nt
Filed under: uncultured bacterium
Lineage: Bacteria
Description: partial 16S ribosomal RNA
Rfam family: Bacterial small subunit ribosomal RNA
Source: RNAcentral